AUAGGGGAGCCGAAGGGAAACCGAGUCUUAACUGGGCGUUAAGUUGCAGGGUAUAGACCCGAAACCCGGUGAUCUAGCCAUGGGCAGGUUGAAGGUUGGGUAACACUAACUGGAGGACCGAACCGACUAAUGUUGAAAAAUUAGCGGAUGACUUGUGGCUGGGGGUGAAAGGCCAAUCAAACCGGGAGAUAGCUGGUUCUCCCCGAAAGCUAUUUAGGUAGCGCCUCGUGAACUCAUCUUCGGGGGUAGAGCACUGUUUCGGCUAGGGGGUCAUCCCGACUUACCAACCCGAUGCAAACUGCGAAUACCGAAGAAUGUUAUCACGGGAGACACACGGCGGGUGCUAACGUCCGUCGUGAAGAGGGAAACAACCCAGACCGCCAGCUAAGGUCCCAAAGUCACAGUUAAGUGGGAAACGAUGUGGGAAGGCUCAGACAGCCAGGAUGUUGGCUUAGAAGCAGCCAUCAUUUAAAGAAAGCGUAAUAGCUCACUGGUCGAGUCGGCCUGCGCGGAAGAUGUAACGGGGCUAAACUGUGCACCGAAGCUGCGGCAGCGACGCUUAUGCGUUGUUGGGUAGGGGAGCGUUCUGUAAGCCUGCGAAGGUGUCCUGUGAGGGAUGCUGGAGGUAUCAGAAGUGCGAAUGCUGACAUAAGUAACGAUAAUGCGGGUGAAAAGCCCGCUCGCCGGAAGACCAAGGGUUCCUGUCCAACGUUAAUCGGGGCAGGGUGAGUCGACCCCUAAGGCGAGGCCGAAAGGCGUAGUCGAUGGGAAACGGGUUAAUAUUCCCGUACUUGGUGUUACUGCGAAGGGGGGACGGAGAAGGCUAUGUUGGCCGGGCGACGGUUGUCCCGGUUUAAGCGUGUAGGCUGGUUUUCCAGGCAAAUCCGGAAAAUCAAGGCUG
Molecule: ribosomal RNA, 901 nt
Filed under: Salmonella enterica subsp. enterica serovar Kentucky
Lineage: Bacteria; Pseudomonadati; Pseudomonadota; Gammaproteobacteria; Enterobacterales; Enterobacteriaceae
Description: partial 23S ribosomal RNA
Rfam family: Bacterial large subunit ribosomal RNA
Source: RNAcentral